ACCUCCUUCAGCCAAGUCCCUGGGCCUUCAGUGGUAAAGAAGAUGCCACUGUGCCUGUGGCUCAGAACUGGUUUUCACCAGAUCUGCUGGUCACACACCCACCACCACAGCCCAGCCCACGGCUCCCGGCAUCUUGAGCUGGAGUCGGAACAGCAUCGGAAUCAAAUCACUAUCUCUCGGUUUGUGGCUUCUGACUAAACUGGUUCUCCGCUGCCUGCCCACCCGCCAGGCCCACAGGCCAGGCUGCUGGGUACAGACAUGGGAAGAUACUGGCAUGAUAACGCAGCCGGGAGCAUGCGCCCGCGAGGCCACCCCAUGGAACAGCACACUGGCUGAGCAAGAACAAAGACCGUAAAUGAAGAAGGAUGUUUGCACUAUGCUCCCCGCUCGCCUGAAAACAGGAAGCCGUGCAGGCCUACCCUGACAAGCCUCCUCCUCUUCCUCGGCCCAGAGCUACAUAGCCUCAGAGGUUUUAUUUUCAUUACUUAGUUUGGUUUGGUUUUGAUUUUAAUGGGCAGAUCUCUUCCAACGCACUUUUUCUCCCCUCCUUGCUUCUCUGCCAUGGGAGGGAGCACCGUCCGCCCAUGGCCCAAUGGCGAACCGAGGAUCAUGGGUGGCUUUCCCCGCUUUCUUUUCACCUGCCCUUCCUCAAGCUCCUGCAAGAAGAAGGGGCCAACUCCGGCAGCUGACCCAAUCAACACAGCUGACAGACCCCAGAGGCAGAGGCUAGCAGCUUGGGAAGGAAGGCAUCAGAGGGGGCAGGCAUGUGGAGGUGGGCUUCUGAGCAGAUGCCAAGAGUGCACAGCGAUGACACAGACUUGUCGUGGGAUGCUAUUCACAGACCCAAGAAGGAAUGAAGACAAUCUACCUCCUGGAUGGAAGGGGGCCAGGGACCAGCCAGCUAGGAAAGCCAGACAGUAGAUCCAACUGAGAGUAAGCCCUGGAGGGGCAGCAGCAGGAUCUGGGCCAGAAUGGCUCUGUGAGGUUCUGCUCUGCAGCCUCCGGGCUUACAGCCUCCUCUCGAACAUUUAAAUAUAGGCAGUACCAAAUCUCUGUAUCAGAGAGGGUGCCCCCCCCCCCCGAAUCAAAAUCAACAGGAGAUGUGUGUGUGUGUGUGUGUGUGUGUGCGCAUACAUACAUAUGUGUGUAUACACAUAGUUGUUCCAUGGUAACCAAGGGACAAUGGUUCCAGGACCCCACCCUUGCCAUGAUUAGCAAAAACAUUCACAGAUGCUCAAGUCCCUUGCCCCAAAUGUCAUAGUAUUUGCACUCAACCUGCACCCCUCCUCCUUUACAUUUUCCGUCAUCUCUAGAUCGCUCAGAAGUCCCAGUUCCGUGCCUACACAGCACUUUAUUUGUGUGGAUUCAGUGUAUUCCUGAGCGUGCAACACAACUAAGCUUUGCUUUUUGGAGUUUUCUGGAUUUAGAAAGCCUAUUUUCUAUCCACUCUUGAUUGAAUCUAGAGAUGUAGAACCCACGUAUAGAGAGGGCUGACUGUAUGUAUGACGAGCUUUAUUUUAAGGACGUGACUCAGGUCAUCGCAGGAACAGAAAAGUCUGAAAUCCCCAAGGCGAGUUGCUGCUACAGUCGUGAGCGGGCAUCUGAAGGGCAGGGGGCAGGGGCAGGCACAGACGCAGGCUCAGGAGUGGGCACUGCAGGCUUGAGGCAGAAUUCCCACUUCUCUGGGAAACUUGUUUUUGCUUCCAAGGCCUUCAACUGAGUGGUUGGCCCACCUACUACCCAGGGUCAUGUCCUCUACUGAAGGACCAUGUUGCCUCCUCAGCAACCUCUAGACCAGUGCUGGUUGGAUCCUUGAGUGGCACAGCCUGCAAGUGCACACAGAAGGCUCGCCACUCCAUCUCACUCAUGACAGGCUCCAAGGCCAUUUUGAAGGCUCUGCCAUCUUCCCAUCCAAGCACAUCAGAGGCGAGUCCCACUCAUCAGCUUCAUCUCUAAGCUACUACCCGUGUCGAGAGCUGCCAGUGUGUGUACAUGGCCAGUCAUGCCUCUUGAGUCAGACCAAAGUAAAUUAGAAAAACCAACUGAACACUGAAGAGAAGAUACAGGUCUGAGAAUCAGAAGACCUGGGUUCCAGUUCUGGCUCCACCAUUAGUUGGUCAUGAGCCUCUAUAGUGUGUGUGUGUGUGUGUGUGUGUGUGUGUGUGUGUGUGUGUGUGUACACAUACAAUAUAGGUUAUGGUUUGGAUAGAAGAGAGUCCCCCAAAACUCCUGUGUUAAUGCAGGAAUGUUCAGAGGUGAAAUGAUUGGAUUGUGAGAGCUGUAAUCUGAUCAGUAAUAUUGAUUGAUUGGUAAUUGUAGGCAGGUGAGGCAUGGCUUGAGAAGGUGAGUCUUUGGGGUGGACAUUUGCUCCAUGGCCCUUCCUACUCUCUGCUUCCUGGCUGCCAUGAAUACAGUGUGUCCUUCCGCCAUAUGUGCUGCCUCAUCUUGGGCCCAGAGCAAUGGUGUUGGCCCACCAUGGACUAAAAAAUCUCUGAAACCAUGAGCCAAAAUAGACUUGACCUCCUCUAAGUUGUUCUUGUCCAGUAUUGUGGUCACAGCAAGGAAAAACUGACUAAAACAGUAUAAAUAGAAGCUGAAGAUGCUCCAUGACCUUCAUCAAUGACUAUUACCCCAGGGCCUUAGGACACAGGCCUUAAUGCCUUCAGGGACAGUCCUACCCUAAGAACAAGGACUAGGCAGAGAACAUCAGAGAAAAUUUGAGAAGCAAUAUAUAGACAGAUAAAUGUAGAUAAAUGAGCGUGAGAGAUUUGUCUAUAAAUAAAUAUAUCAACAUAAUGUAAA
Molecule: non-coding RNA, 2802 nt
Organism: Ictidomys tridecemlineatus (thirteen-lined ground squirrel)
Lineage: Eukaryota; Metazoa; Chordata; Mammalia; Rodentia; Sciuridae
Source: RefSeq, a predicted model, not a curated record